RNAcentral lists this ribosomal RNA (252 nucleotides) under uncultured bacterium. RNAcentral describes it as "partial 16S ribosomal RNA". It matches the Rfam family "Bacterial small subunit ribosomal RNA", at positions 524 to 776 of the family's 1533-position model. The record is from RNAcentral.
UACGAAGGGGGCUAGCGUUGCUCGGAAUUACUGGGCGUAAAGCGCACGUAGGCGGCUUCUUAAGUCGGUGGUGAAAUCCUGGAGCUCAACUCCAGAACUGCCUUCGAUACUGGGAGCUCGAGUCCGGGAGAGGUGAGUGGAACGUGCGAGUGUAGAGGUGAAAUUCGUAGAUAUUCGCAAGAACACCAGUGGCGAAGGCGGCUCACUGGCCCGGUACUGACGCUGAGGUGCGAAAGCGUGGGAGCAACAGGG